RNAcentral lists this ribosomal RNA (301 nucleotides) under uncultured bacterium. RNAcentral describes it as "partial 16S ribosomal RNA". It matches the Rfam family "Bacterial small subunit ribosomal RNA", at positions 509 to 807 of the family's 1533-position model. The record is from RNAcentral.
CAGUAGCCACGGUAAUACGGAGGGGGCUAGCGUUGUUCGGAAUUACUGGGCGUAAAGCGCACGUAGGCGGCUUGGUAAGUUAGAGGUGAAAGCCCGGAGCUCAACUCCGGAAUUGCCUUUAAGACUGCCGAGCUAGUAGGUGAGAGAGGUAAGUGGAAUUCCGAGUGUAGAGGUGAAAUUCGUAGAUAUUCGGAAGAACACCUGUGGCGAAGGCGGCUUACUGGCUCAUUCUAGACGCUGGGGUGCGAAAGCGCGGGGAGCAAACAGGAUUAGAUACCCGUGUAGUCCCUGUCUCUUAUAC